Molecule: ribosomal RNA, 915 nt
Filed under: Pseudoalteromonas citrea
Lineage: Bacteria; Pseudomonadati; Pseudomonadota; Gammaproteobacteria; Alteromonadales; Pseudoalteromonadaceae
Description: bacterial SSU rRNA
Rfam family: Bacterial small subunit ribosomal RNA
Source: RNAcentral
AAGUCGAGCGGUAACAGAGAUAGCUUGCUAUCUGCUGACGAGCGGCGGACGGGUGAGUAAUGCUUGGGAAUAUGCCUUUUGGUGGGGGACAACAGUUGGAAACGACUGCUAAUACCGCAUAACGUCUACGGACCAAAGUGGGGGACCUUCGGGCCUCACGCCAAGAGAUUAGCCCAAGUGGGAUUAGCUAGUUGGUAAGGUAAUGGCUUACCAAGGCAACGAUCCCUAGCUGGUUUGAGAGGAUGAUCAGCCACACUGGAACUGAGACACGGUCCAGACUCCUACGGGAGGCAGCAGUGGGGAAUAUUGCACAAUGGGCGCAAGCCUGAUGCAGCCAUGCCGCGUGUGUGAAGAAGGCCUUCGGGUUGUAAAGCACUUUCAGUCAGGAGGAAAGGUUAGUAGUUAAUAGCUACUAGCUGUGACGUUACUGACAGAAGAAGCACCGGCUAACUCCGUGCCAGCAGCCGCGGUAAUACGGAGGGUGCGAGCGUUAAUCGGAAUUACUGGGCGUAAAGCGUACGCAGGCGGUUUGUUAAGCGAGAUGUGAAAGCCCCGGGCUCAACCUGGGAACUGCAUUUCGAACUGGCAGACUAGAGUGUGAUAGAGGGUGGUAGAAUUUCAGGUGUAGCGGUGAAAUGCGUAGAGAUCUGAAGGAAUACCGAUGGCGAAGGCAGCCACCUGGGUCAACACUGACGCUCAUGUACGAAAGCGUGGGGAGCAAACGGGAUUAGAUACCCCGGUAGUCCACGCCGUAAACGAUGUCUACUAGAAGCUGGGGUCUUCGGACAACUUUUUCAAAGCUAACGCAUUAAGUAGACCGCCUGGGGAGUACGGCCGCAAGGUUAAAACUCAAAUGAAUUGACGGGGGCCCGCACAAGCGGUGGGAGCAUGUUGUUUUAAUUCGAUGCAACGCGA